UCAGCGAGAGGAGCGCAACGGAUCUUUUUUCCUUCGCUCGGCUCGUAUCUCGGCAUGAAGGAGGUAAAGAGCGAGCGGGAGCGGGGGAGCCGGCGGAGGCACCGCGACGGGGACAUGGUGGCGGCGGCGGUGGUGGUGAAGGUGAAGCAGGAGCGCCUCAGCCCGGAAGCCGCGCCUCCCGCCCACCGCCGCCCAGAUUCCUCCGGCGGUAGCGCGUCCCCGCCGGCUGGCGAGCCGGGCCGCCCUCCUCACCGCGGGAACCGAGCCCGAGGAGGUAGCCGGUCCCCAGCCAAAAAGAAAAACAAGUCCUCAGGGAGAAGAAGCAAGUCUCCUCGGAGUAAGAGAAGCCGAAGUCCUCACCACUCAACAGUCAGAGUGAAACAGGAACGUGAGGAUCAUCCCCGGAGAGGACGGGACGAACGGCAGCACCGGGAGUCAUCGGGCCAGGAACACAGACGAGCUAGAAACAGUGACCACGACAGACACAGGGGCCAUUCCCACCAGAGGAGAAGCUCUAAUGAGAGGCCUGGGAGUGGGCAGGCUCAGGGACGGGACCGAGACAUUCAGAAUCUACAGGCUCAGGAUGCAGAGCGGGAGUUUUACAACGCCCGAAGACGGGAGAAUCGCCAGAAGAACGAAGUUAGUGUUGGUGGUAAUGAGUCUCAGGAGUUGGUUCCCCGACCUGGUGGCAACAGUAAAGACAAAGAGGCACCCGCUAAAGAAAAGCCAAGCUUUGAACUCUCUGGGGCACUUCUUGAGGACACCAACACCUUCCGGGGUGUUGUCAUUAAGUAUAGUGAGCCCCCAGAAGCACGUAUCCCCAAAAAACGAUGGCGCCUCUACCCCUUUAAAAAUGACGAGGUGCUUCCUGUCAUGUACAUCCAUCGGCAGAGCGCCUACCUCCUGGGCCGGCACCGCCGCAUAGCGGACAUCCCAAUCGAUCAUCCCUCCUGCUCAAAACAGCACGCGGUCUUUCAGUAUCGGCUUGUGGAAUAUACCCGUGCUGAUGGGACAGUUGGCCGAAGGGUGAGGCCCUACAUCAUUGACCUUGGCUCAGGCAAUGGAACGUUCUUGAACAACAAGCGCAUCGAGCCACAGAGAUACUAUGAACUAAAGGAAAAGGAUGUACUUAAAUUUGGGUUCAGCAGCAGAGAGUAUGUCCUGCUUCACGAGUCCUCCGACACCUCUGAAGUAGACAGGAAAGAAGAUGAGGAUGAGGAGGAGGAGGAGGAAGUAUCUGACAGCUAGCAAACUAAGAAACAGCCCAAACUCUGGAAGGACCUUUCUUUAAAGGUUUUGGGAUUGAGUCAGAGAGCACCAUGGUUCUCUCUGUCAUGCCUCUUAAUGCCUUAAGUCUUUCCUCUGUUGCUGACCACCUUCUGUUAUAGUAUAGGAAAACUGACUUCUGUUUGGUUGAACUUUUUUCUGUGGCACAUCAGCCCCUUGCCUGUGGGCAUUUGUUUUCAGAACAGUCUCACCAACACAUUGUGUUUCAGUAGAAGCAUCGUGGCUUUAGUUGGUGCUUUCAGAACUGCUGCCUAGGAAACUACAAACCCUUGGUUCAAGGGGAAUUGUGGCUUGUUCUCUUUGUACAGUUACUUUAUUUAUAUAGUUGUCAAGCUUUGUGGACUGGGUUUGUUUUUGUUUUUGGGGCAAACCCCUGAACAGAGAACCUUACUAAGCUUUGGUUGUCACCAAAACAGCCUCCAUUAUAUACCAAAACUUUGACCUGGUUGAGCUCUUGAGUCACAGAAGUUGACUUUGCACUUCAUUUUUGGGGGGGUGGGAAUUUACCACAUGACCUCAUUAUUAACUGUUGGACUUAAACAGAUGCUUUAUGGAACCUGCUGAAGCCUACAACUGUACAGGAAGAUCCUGGCUACCGCCAGUGGGUGCUGAUACAACGUCACGAGAGGCUGAAAUGGGUCAUGGAUCGGUUUCCUGUGAGAGAAUUCUGAUUUCUCCAUAGAGCAUGUACAUAACAAUUUUGAUCAUCAUAUCUGUUCAACUUAGCAGUUUUAUUCAAAUGUUAUUUCUUUCCUUCUUUGCAAAACAGUGUCAUUUAUGUAGCACGGUCCUUGCUUUAUUCUAACAAUGUAUGUAUGUGUGUAAAGGAGGUUGUAUAGUUGACAUGUUUCAUCUUUUUAAAAAAAUGUUCAUAGAGAUUGUAUUUACUUUCCCAAGGCCGGAAAGCAAGGGAGUUGCCGUUUCCUAAUUUUCCACAGAGGAAUAUGUAGCCCCUCUCCCAAAUCCUCCGUGGUGGUCUACAGUUCUGCUGAAGUGUUGGACAGAAUCUUCAGGUUUUCCCCAUCAAACCUCUUCCUAGUCACCUAGUUCCCUCAUUUGGACAUGGACAAAGGACACCUCAUUAAGAGCAACUGGUGACGGAGCUCUCAGAUACUUUUAUUGUAUUCUGGUGAUAAAGCAGAGUCAUCAAUUCAGAUGCAAAAACCGAGGCACAGAGAAGUUAAGGUCACACCGGGAUUCAAACCUACUCUGGUUCCAGGUGCCACACUCUUACCCACUGUGAUGUACUCCCUCUUACGCAGUUGAGAGAUAUACAAGGUCUGGCCCUGGCAGAGCAAUAUAACUAGCAGCUACAGACAGUGCUAGAUAGGAGCAGCAUUGGGGAUUGUGGAAGCAUAGAGAAAUAGGAUUUAACAAAGCCUCAGGAGUCAGAGAAGAAUGAACAGCCAGAAGAGGUCAGUGGGGUUGAGGAAAGAGAGCAAUAUUUCUAGGCAGAGAGGCUAGCACUUAGAAAUGCCUGAGGUGAUAAACUAAUGAGGUUUUGGAAGCGCUCAGAAGUUCAAUAGGGGAGACAGUGAGUGAAACUUCUGGUUUCUGUUAAUGAUGGCCUAAGCUAUUGUGUG
This is a non-coding RNA of Callorhinus ursinus (northern fur seal), 2870 nucleotides long. Lineage: Eukaryota; Metazoa; Chordata; Mammalia; Carnivora; Otariidae. The record is from RefSeq and is a predicted model, not a curated record.